UACGAAGGGGGGCUAGCGUUGCUCGGAAUCACUGGGCGUAAAGGGUGCGUAGGCGGGUCUUUAAGUCAGGGGUGAAAUCCUGGAGCUCAACUCCAGAACUGCCUUUGAUACUGAAGAUCUUGAGUUCGGGGAGAGGUGAGUGGAACUGCGAGUGUAGAGGUGAAAUUCGUAGAUAUUCGCAAGAACACCAGUGGCGAAGGCGGCUCACUGGCCCGAUACUGACGCUGAGGCACGAAAGCGUGGGGAGCAAACAGG
This 255-nucleotide ribosomal RNA is filed under the name uncultured bacterium. RNAcentral's name for it is "partial 16S ribosomal RNA". It matches the Rfam family "Bacterial small subunit ribosomal RNA", at positions 524 to 776 of the family's 1533-position model. The record is from RNAcentral.